GCUUCCUAUAAUGGAAGGUAACACUGAACUCUAGUUUAGGGUUUAUAAUGAUUCUGUUGUCACUACACUUUUAUAGAAAGUCUAUCAAGUGACAUCUAUAUCCUCUGCAUUAGUAGAUCAAUGCUGUACUUUGUUGAUCCAUCCUAUUUGGUACUUGAUAGGGGAAUGAUGGGAUUUGAAACGUGCCUGCAACGUAGCUGUUGUGGGGUUGCCAGAUCUGACUUAUCUUUGUGAAGAAAUUAAUCUGUGAAGAGGGUUAAAGAGUAGUGUUAUGAAAUGAAGUUCUAACUGCUCUUGUUUAGAAUUAUAAAGCUCCAGCACAUGUACCUGAGCCACAGCAAAAUGGGAUAGAGAAAGAAACAGUCUUGUUCUGUCUCAGAUGCUUAUAAGCAUUCCAGACUUUAUAUAUAAAACAGCACUUUGCAAUUCACCUGGAAACUCACUGAUAUAGAUCCAAGAUGAGAAACACAAUGUACUCGCAGCAGAAAACACUGCUAGGUCUUGAAACAAACUUCUGCAGAAGAGAUUGAGCCUGAAUCCUCAAAUGUGCUGCGUGCUCGUUUAUGCUAGCCUUUCACCAACCAAUGAUGGAAGGAAAACAACACUGGAAGAAGUUGUCCAUUCAGUUGGCUAUCGGAGUAGCCACAUGCAGAUGCUGGGCCACUGUGGCAUAGACUGGAGAAUGAGGAAAGAAUCUGAUGCACCUAUUGGUGCUCUGUUGUUCAGAGUGUGUGGCGGAAGCAGUAGAAUAAGAAGUUUCACACAUUCUUAUGGAGAAAAGACAAGAAGCUACCUUUCAAGAACAAGAGCUUCAGGAUCUGGUCUCAAGUCACCAUUUAACAAGAAAUAAAACAGCAACAACAUCUAACAAUGAAACAUAAAUGCUCAUCUGACUGCACGUGAUUUGAUUUGAUGCUAAAAGGAUACUAUGUUGGCUCAGUGAUGGCUUGGUGCAAAUUUCCUCCCUAAAAUCUGAGGUUGAAUUUAGCUUCAGUUCUUCCCAUUUCCCUUGUUUUUUCAGGGUUUUCAACUAUUUUAUGGUGGAUAGCAGGAAGAAAAGUUGCUUUUUUCAACUCAGAAGAUGUGAUUAAAAGAGAAUCUACCUUUAGAGCUGCAACAAAAUUAAGUUUUUUCUUUUUUUCUCUUUUUCUUCCCUGUGUAGCCAAUAAAGAGUUUUUC
RNAcentral lists this long non-coding RNA (1179 nucleotides) under Struthio camelus australis. RNAcentral describes it as "lncRNA (ENSSCUG00000017053.1)". Lineage: Eukaryota; Metazoa; Chordata; Aves; Struthioniformes; Struthionidae. The record is from RNAcentral.